UACGUAGGGUGCGAGCGUUGUCCGGAAUUACUGGGCGUAAAGAGCUCGUAGGUGGUUUGUCGCGUUGUCCGUGAAAACUCACAACUCAAUUGUGGGCGUGCGGGCGAUACGGGCAGACUGGAGUACUGCAGGGGAGACUGGAAUUCCUGGUGUAGCGGUGGAAUGCGCAGAUAUCAGGAGGAACACCCGUGGCGAAGGCGGCUCUCUGGAACGCAACUGACGCUGAGACGCGAAAGCGUGGGGAGCAAACAGG
Molecule: ribosomal RNA, 253 nt
Filed under: uncultured bacterium
Lineage: Bacteria
Description: partial 16S ribosomal RNA
Rfam family: Bacterial small subunit ribosomal RNA
Source: RNAcentral